This 731-nucleotide ribosomal RNA is filed under the name uncultured eukaryote. Its description in RNAcentral is "SSU rRNA". It matches the Rfam family "Eukaryotic small subunit ribosomal RNA", at positions 672 to 1426 of the family's 1831-position model. The record is from RNAcentral.
GGCGUGUACUGCUUGGCUGGGCCUUACUUCUUGGUGAGCCGGCGUGCCCUUUAUUGGUGUGCGUCGGGGAACCAAGACUUUUACCUUGAGAAAAUUAGAGUGUUCAAAGCAGGCCUAUGCCUGAAUACAUUAGCAUGGAAUAAUAGAAUAGGACGUGCGGUUCUAUUUUGUUGGUUUCUAGAGUCCCCGUAAUGAUUAAUAGGGACAGUUGGGGGCAUUGGUAUUGAGUCGCUAGAGGUGAAAUUCUUGGAUUGACUCAAGACCGACUAUUGCGAAAGCAUUUGCCAAGGAUGUUUUCAUUAAUCAAGAACGAAGGUUAGGGGAUCGAAAACGAUCAGAUACCGUUGUAGUCUUAACAGUAAACUAUGCCGACUAGGGAUCGGAUGACCUCAAAAUUGAUGUGUCAUUCGGCACCUUACGAGAAAUCAAAGUCUUUGGGUUUUGGGGGGAGUAUGGUCGCAAGGCUGAAACUUAAAGGAAUUGACGGAAGGGCACCACCAGGUGUGGAGCCUGCGGCUUAAUUUGACUCAACACGGGGAAACUCACCAGGUCCAGACAUAACUAGGAUUGACAGAUUGAUAGCUCUUUCAUGAUUUUAUGGGUGGUGGUGCAUGGCCGUUCUUAGUUGGUGGAGUGAUUUGUCUGGUUAAUUCCGAUAACGAACGAGACCUUAACCUGCUAAAUAGCCAGCCCGGCUUCGGCUGGUCUCUGGCUUCUAGAGGGACUGUCAG